RNAcentral lists this non-coding RNA (779 nucleotides) under Athyma sulpitia (spotted sergeant). The record is from RNAcentral. Lineage: Eukaryota; Metazoa; Arthropoda; Insecta; Lepidoptera; Nymphalidae.
GAAUAAAUAAAUUUUUUAUAUUUUUUAUAUUUUAUUAUAAAUUUAUUUUACAUGUAAAUUUUAGUAUAAAAUUUUAAUUAUUUUAAUAAUAAUUAAUUUAAAUAUACAGUAAUUAAAAUUAAAAAUUUAAGAAAUUAAGAUUUAGUAAUAUUUAAAUUAAUAACUAAUUUUGUGCCAGCAGUUGCGGUUAAACAAAAAUUAAAUUAAAUUAUUUCAGUAUAUAAUAAAUAAUAAAUAAUUAAAUUAAAUAUUAAAUUAUUAAGUGAAAUUUUAAUUUAAUUAAAAAUUAUAAUAAAAUUAUGAUUUAAUAAAUUUUAUUUUAAACUAGGAUUAGAUACCCUAUUAUUAAAAAUUUAAUUAAAAAUACUAAAAUAGUAAAUAAAAUAUUAUUGAAACUUAAAUAAUAUGGCGGUAUUUUAGUUCAUUUAGAGGAAUCUGUCUAAUAAUUGAUAAUCCACGAAUAAAUUUACUUAAUUUAUAAUUUUGUAUAUCAUUGUUAAAAAAAUAUUUUUUAAUAAAAAUAAUAUUUUAAAAUUUAAAAUAAAAUUUAAUUCAGAUCAAGAUGCAGAUUAUAAUUAAGUUUAAGAUGGAUUACAAUAAAAAUAUUUAAGUGGAAAGAAUUUUGUAAAAUUUAAUUGAAAAUGGAUUUAAAUGUAAUUUUAAUUAGUUUAUUAAAAUGAUUAAAAAUUGAAAUAUGUACAUAUUGCCCGUCACUUUCAUUUAAAAAUUGAAAUAAGUCGUAACAAAGUAGAGGUACUGGAAAGUGUUUCUAGAAUGAU